AGUGAACGCUGGCGGUAGGCCUAACACAUGCAAGUCGAACGGCAGCACAGUAAGAGCUUGCUCUUACGGGUGGCGAGUGGCGGACGGGUGAGGAAUACAUCGGAAUCUACUUUUUCGUGGGGGAUAACGUAGGGAAACUUACGCUAAUACCGCAUACGACCUACGGGUGAAAGCAGGGGAUCUUCGGACCUUGCGCGAUUGAAUGAGCCGAUGUCGGGUUAGCUAGUUGGCGGGGUAAAGGCCCACCAAGGCGGCGAUCCGUAGCUGGUCUGAGAGGAUGAUCAGCCACACUGGAACUGAGACACGGUCCAGACUCCUACGGGAGGCAGCAGUGGGGAAUAUGGGACAAUGGGCGCAAGCCUGAUCCAGCCAUACCGCGUGGGUGAAGAAGGCCUUCGGGUUGUAAAGCCCGUUUGCUGGGAAAGAAAAGCAGCAGGUUAAUACCCCGCUGUUCUGACGGUACCCAAAGAAUAAGCACCGGCUAACUUCGUG
This 492-nucleotide ribosomal RNA is filed under the name uncultured bacterium. RNAcentral's name for it is "partial 16S ribosomal RNA". It matches the Rfam family "Bacterial small subunit ribosomal RNA", at positions 29 to 507 of the family's 1533-position model. The record is from RNAcentral.